ACGAACGUUGGCGCGUGCUUAAUACAUGCAAGUCAACUGAAGCACCGGUAGUAAUACUGGUGUGGAGGUGGCGCACGGGUGAGUAACACGUAGGUAAUCUGCCUUCAGGUCUGACAUAACCCCGAGAAAUCGGGGCUAAUAGCAGAUGAUGCAGCGGCUUGACAUCAAGACAGUUGUUAAAGCUUCGGCGCCUGAAGAUGAGCCUGCGUCUGAUUAGCUAGUUGGCGGAGUAAUGGCCCACCAAGGCUACGAUCAGUAACUGGUCUGAGAGGAUGAUCAGUCACACUGGAACUGAGACACGGUCCAGACUCCUACGGGAGGCAGCAGUAAGGAAUAUUGCUCAAUGGGAGAAAUCCUGAAGCAGCAACGCCGCGUGAGGGAUGAAGGGCUUUUGCUCGUAAACCUCUGUAGUGAGGGAAAAAUUUCCACUCUGUGGAAUAUGAUGGUACCUCAAAAGUAAGCCCCGGCUAACUACGUG
Molecule: ribosomal RNA, 478 nt
Filed under: uncultured bacterium
Lineage: Bacteria
Description: bacterial SSU rRNA
Rfam family: Bacterial small subunit ribosomal RNA
Source: RNAcentral